UUACAAAAUAACGUAAAAUGCUUAGGGCGUAUAAUAGCGCGCCACUUUAAUAAUUCAAAACAAGAUCACAGAAGAAAGACUGGAAAGAGUUAUGCCAACAUGCAGAUAAUGGUUAUCUCUACGUAGUAAAUUAAAGGGUGUUCUUGGGCAGCCCGGGUGGCUCAGCGGUUUAGCGUCGCCUUCAGCCCAGGGCCUGAUCCUGGGAAUCCAGGAUCGAGUCCCACGUAGGCCUCCCUGCAUGGAGCCUGCUUCUCCCUCUGCCUGUGUCUCUGUGUCUCUCACAAAUAAGUAAAUUUUAAAAAUCUUUAAAAAAUAAUAGAAAUAAAAAAUAAAGGAUAUUCUUAUGUCUUUUCUCUCUUGAGAAUCUCUAAGAUAGCCAGUCAUUUUCUAAUCAGCAAAUACCAUAUAUUUUAAUCUUUUUUUUUUUUAAUAGGACAGUCUCAAAGCUGGUAGCAUUGGUCUCCAAAAAGAACACAUUGAUGCUGAGAAGACCAAAAACUUUUCUAAGCUGACUCCCAGGUGGAGGAAGUCAGGUUGUGGGCUCUCUUCAUCCCACCAGGAGCCAACAUUUGUUGAUCACAGAUGAAUCCAUGCAACCCACCCAGAGUGAUGCUUUGAUUCUCUUCAGCAAAGACUGGGCCGAGAAAAAAAUAAAAAGUCCCGGUAGCAAUUCGGUGGGCCUAAGCACAUGCACUGAGAAGAGAGUCAAAAAGGAAGAUUUUCACAACGAAUUAUCAUUCAAGUCCUCUCAGACCUGUAGUCUCGUAUAUGGCUACAGGAGGUGGCCCUAGAUUUCUUAUAAACCCUUCCAAAAGAAUCUUCCUCUGGAACAUCAUAGGGAACAGAAGCAGUUUGUCACAAAUAGAUUUCCGACAUGCAGGACAUCUCAAGUUUCCUUUCAGGAGGAAGUUUUCAUUUAAAGGCAGAGUGAUCUGCUUUGUCUGUAAAAUUAAAAAAAAAAAUGAGUUGAAGAAAAC
This 977-nucleotide long non-coding RNA is filed under the name Vulpes vulpes (red fox). RNAcentral describes it as "lncRNA (ENSVVUG00000027607.1)". The record is from RNAcentral. Lineage: Eukaryota; Metazoa; Chordata; Mammalia; Carnivora; Canidae.